This 743-nucleotide ribosomal RNA is filed under the name uncultured eukaryote. Its description in RNAcentral is "SSU rRNA". It matches the Rfam family "Eukaryotic small subunit ribosomal RNA", at positions 557 to 1295 of the family's 1831-position model. The record is from RNAcentral.
UAGUCUGGUGCCAGCAGCCGCGGUAAUUCCAGCUCCAAUAGCGUAUAUUAAUGUUGUUGCAGUUAAAAAGCUCGUAGUUGGAUUUCUGAUCGGUUCGUCUAUCCAGGUCCGCAAGGAUUUGUGUGUGACGCAACCUGUCAUCCUCAGGGGGACUGUUCACUGGCAUUCAGUUGUCGGUGUCGGGACGCCUGUCGUUUACUGUGAACAAAUUAGAGUGUUCAAAGCAAGGUGUUCUUGAAUACAUUAGCAUGGAAUAAUAAGAUAGGACUCUGACGGUUCUUUUUGAUAUUUUGUUGGUUUGCACGCCAGAGUAAUGAUUAAUAGGAGCAGUUGGGGGUAUUCGUAUUCAAUUGUCAGAGGUGAAAUUCUUGGAUUUAUAGAAGACGAACUACUGCGAAAGCAUUUACCAUGGAUGUUUUCAUUAAUCAAGAACGAAAGUUAGGGGAUCGAAGAAGAUUAGAUACCUUCGUAGUCCUAACCAUAAACUAUGCCGACUCGGGAUUGGCGAUCGCUUAUUAUCGGCUUCGUCAGCACCGUAUGAGAAAUCAAAGUCUUUGGGUUCCGGGGGGAGUAUGGUCGCAAGGCUGAAACUUAAAGAAAUUGACGGAAGGGCACCACCAGGAGUGGAGCCUGCGGCUUAAUUUGACUCAACACGGGGAAACUUACCAGGUCCAGACAUAGUAAGGAUUGACAGAUUGAGAGCUCUUUCUUGAUUCUAUGGGUGGUGGUGCAUGGCCGUUCUU